GACGAACGCUGGCGGCGUGCUUAACACAUGCAAGUCGAACGGAAAGGCCCUGCUUUUGUGGGGUGCUCGAGUGGCGAACGGGUGAGUAACACGUGAGUAACCUGCCCUUGACUUUGGGAUAACUUCAGGAAACUGGGGCUAAUACCGGAUAGGAGCUCCUGCUGCAUGGUGGGGGUUGGAAAGUUUCGGCGGUUGGGGAUGGACUCGCGGCUUAUCAGCUUGUUGGUGGGGGAGUGGCUUACCAAGGCUUUGACGGGUAGCCGGCCUGAGAGGGCGACCGGCCACAUUGGGACUGAGAUACGGCCCAGACUCCUACGGGAGGCAGCAGUGGGGAAUAUUGCACAAUGGGCGGAAGCCUGAUGCAGCAACGCCGCGUGCGGGAUGACGGCCUUCGGGUUGUAAACCGCUUUCGCCUGUGACGAAGCGUGAGUGACGGUAAUGGGUAAAGAAGCACCAGCUAACUACGUG
This 468-nucleotide ribosomal RNA is filed under the name uncultured bacterium. Its description in RNAcentral is "partial 16S ribosomal RNA". It matches the Rfam family "Bacterial small subunit ribosomal RNA", at positions 28 to 507 of the family's 1533-position model. The record is from RNAcentral.